UAGGGAGGUGAUCCUUUCCCCAUGAGAUCGACUAUGAUUAUACUGUGCCUUUUCUUUUCUUAUUUGGUUAGAAAUCAAGCCAAGGAUCCUGAUCCUA
Small nucleolar RNA from Phoenix dactylifera (date palm), 97 nucleotides. RefSeq annotates it as small nucleolar RNA Z103. The record is from RefSeq and is a predicted model, not a curated record. NCBI's taxonomy places the organism in Eukaryota, Viridiplantae, Streptophyta, Magnoliopsida, Arecales, Arecaceae.